GCCUCCUUAGCUCAGUGGUAGAGUAUUUGCAUGGUAAGCAAAAAGCCGCCGGUUCAAUACCGGCAGGAGGCU
Molecule: transfer RNA, 72 nt
Filed under: Symbiochloris handae
Lineage: Eukaryota; Viridiplantae; Chlorophyta; Trebouxiophyceae; Trebouxiales; Trebouxiaceae
Description: tRNA-Thr
Rfam family: tRNA
About the family: Transfer RNA (tRNA) molecules are approximately 80 nucleotides in length. Their secondary structure includes four short double-helical elements and three loops (D, anti-codon, and T loops).
Source: RNAcentral